RNAcentral lists this ribosomal RNA (447 nucleotides) under uncultured bacterium. Its description in RNAcentral is "partial 16S ribosomal RNA". It matches the Rfam family "Bacterial small subunit ribosomal RNA", at positions 330 to 792 of the family's 1533-position model. The record is from RNAcentral.
CCCAGACUCCUACGGGAGGCAGCAGUGGGGAAUAUUGGGCAAUGGGCGCAAGCCUGACCCAGCAACGCCGCGUGAAGGAAGAAGGCUUUCGGGUUGUAAACUUCUUUUGACAGGGAAGAGCAGAAGACGGUACCUGUCGAAUAAGCCACGGCUAACUACGUGCCAGCAGCCGCGGUAAUACGUAGGUGGCAAGCGUUGUCCGGAUUUACUGGGUGUAAAGGGAGCGUAGACGGCGGUGCAAGCCAGAUGUGAAAGCCCGGGGCUCAACCCCGGGACUGCAUUUGGAACUGUGCUGCUAGAGUGUCGGAGAGGCAGGCGGAAUUCCUAGUGUAGCGGUGAAAUGCGUAGAUAUUAGGAGGAACACCAGUGGCGAAGGCGGCCUGCUGGACAUUAACUGACGCUGAGGCGCGAAAGCGUGGGGAGCAAACAGGAUUAGAUACCCCAGUA